Molecule: ribosomal RNA, 485 nt
Filed under: uncultured bacterium
Lineage: Bacteria
Description: bacterial SSU rRNA
Rfam family: Bacterial small subunit ribosomal RNA
Source: RNAcentral
AGAGUUGAUUAUGGCUCAGGACGAACGCUGGCGGCGUGCUUAACACAUGCAAGUCGAACGGGAGUAUUGAAGAAGCUUGCUUAGAGAUACUUUAGUGGCGGACGGGUGAGUAACGCGUGAGGAGCUGUCCUAUGCAGGGGGACAACAGCUGGAAACGGCUGCUAAUACCCCAUAAGCCGAGAGGUAAAAGGAUCAAUCCGGCAGAGGAGGUACUCGCGUCCUAUCAGCUAGUAGGUGAGGUAACGGCUCACCUAGGCGAAGACGGGUAGCCGGCCUGAGAGGGCGAACGGCCACACUGGAACUGAGAUACGGUCCAGACUCCUACGGGAGGCAGCAGUGGGGAAUAUUGGGCAAUGGGGGAAACCCUGACCCAGCGACGCCGCGUGGGUGAAGAAAUCCUUCGGGAUGUAAAGCCCUGUUGUAUGGGAAGAGCGGAAGACGGUACCAUACGAGGAAGCCCCGGCAAACUACGUGCCAGCCGCCGC